GAUGAACGCUGGCGGCGUGCCUAAUACAUGCAAGUCGAGCGAACAGACGAGGAGCUUGCUCCUCUGACGUUAGCGGCGGACGGGUGAGUAACACGUGGAUAACCUACCUAUAAGACUGGGAUAACUUCGGGAAACCGGAGCUAAUACCGGAUAAUAUAUUGAACCGCAUGGUUCAAUAGUGAAAGACGGUUUUGCUGUCACUUAUAGAUGGAUCCGCGCCGCAUUAGCUAGUUGGUAAGGUAACGGCUUACCAAGGCAACGAUGCGUAGCCGACCUGAGAGGGUGAUCGGCCACACUGGAACUGAGACACGGUCCAGACUCCUACGGGAGGCAGCAGUAGGGAAUCUUCCGCAAUGGGCGAAAGCCUGACGGAGCAACGCCGCGUGAGUGAUGAAGGUCUUCGGAUCGUAAAACUCUGUUAUUCUGGAAGAACAAAUGUGUAAGUAACUAUGCACGUCUUGACGGUACCUAAUCAGAAAGCCACGGCUAACUACGUG
Molecule: ribosomal RNA, 497 nt
Filed under: uncultured bacterium
Lineage: Bacteria
Description: partial 16S ribosomal RNA
Rfam family: Bacterial small subunit ribosomal RNA
Source: RNAcentral